This 657-nucleotide ribosomal RNA is filed under the name uncultured bacterium. RNAcentral's name for it is "bacterial SSU rRNA". It matches the Rfam family "Bacterial small subunit ribosomal RNA", at positions 61 to 719 of the family's 1533-position model. The record is from RNAcentral.
GGCGCAGGGCAUUGGGUUAACUAACACCGAUCGCUACGGGUGCGUAACGCGCUAUGCAACCCUACCAUAUCACAGGGGGAUAGCCUUUGGAAACAGGGAUUAAUACCGCAUAAAGCAGGGGCUUGGCAUCAAGAUACUGCUAAAGAUUUAUCGGUGAUAGAUGGGCAUGCGUCUGAUUAGUUAGAUGGUGAGGUAAUGGCUCACCAUGACGAUGAUCAGUAGGGGGCGUCAGAGCGUGGUCCCCCACACUGGGACUGAGAUACGGGCCAGACUCCUACGGGAGGCAGCAGUAGGGAAUAUUGGGCAAUGGAUGCAAGUCUGACCCAGCCAUGCCGCGUGGAGGAAGAAGGUCCUCUGGAUUGUAAACUCCUUUUGUCGGGGAAGAAGAGUUCUCUUGCGAGGGAAUGUGACGGUACCCGAUGAAUAAGCCACGGCUAACUACGUGCCAGCAGCCGCGGUAAUACGUAGGUGGCAAGCGUUGUCCGGAUUUAUUGGGUUUAAAGGGUGCGUAGGUGGUUUAUUAAGUCAGUGGUGAAAGCUGGUUGCUCAACAAUCAAAUUGCCAUUGAUACUGAUAGACUUGAGAGAAGUGGAGGUUCAUGGAAUGGAUGGUGUAGCGGUGAAAUGCAUAGAUAUCAUCCAGAACGUCGAUUGCGAA